UCCACUGGGCUCCAGGUCUCCAGAGGAGCCCAUCGGACACGCGCCUGGGACGGGCUGUGACUGACAGAAGGGACCUGAGCGGUGCAUUUGGCACUCCUGUGGCAGCAGACAUCCUUCCCCCUCCCUCUCCCCUCCCUCCCCCCUCCCUCCAUCACCUGCAUGGGCUCCAGUCUCACAUGGGACAAGGAGGGUGGAUAGUCGCACUGUGCCGCGGGUGCCCUUGGGCUGGCUGCCCCUUGCUGUCCUUUCUCUAACUACUAGCUGCGCGGGCCUGUCCCACCUGUCGUCCGGCUUCCUGCAUUGCUUCGUUUCAGGAGGAGGGUCCCAUCUCAUCGUAGUCAGAAGUUGGGGGGUGGGAACGGCGUCAUGCAGGAGUUGAUUGCACAGCCAUUCAGCUCCUAUAUGAUGCCUUUCUUCACCCCCUUCAACCGCGUGUGGCCUCCGGACCCUCCUCUGCGCCUUGAGCUUCACCGGGAUGGGAUGGAUGUGUAGUCCAGCUUGCUACUUCCGUGCAUGUUUUCUUUCUCCCCGCAGCUCUCCAAGUUCCUAGAGGGGAAUGCCUGGGGCUGGGCCAUCUCUGAGGUCCUUCCUUGGAGGGGGAAGCUGUAUCCCUGGUGGGACAUUCCCUGGGGCUGGGCCAAGGGUCACCCCCUGACUCUGUGGCCAAGGGUAGACAGGUCAGAGGUCGAUCCUGGGCCUACCCUGGGGCUUCUCCCACUGGGAUUCCAGGAGCUGUUCUCUCUUGGAUGCCCUCUGAGGGGACCCAGCUCACAGGACAAAGGGGUGGAUCCCAGAGAGAUGGUGUCUUUGUUUCCAGGACAGGGGGCAGGGCUGGAACAGAGCAGGGCUGAGCCAUACCAGUGCUGCCAGAACAGGGUCUCCUUGAGGGGCCUCUGCCUCUAUCCAGGAUUAUUUUUUUAUGACCAGGAGGCUGAGGUCCCUUACAGGCGGCCUCUCACUCUCUCCUUGAGCCCUUCUGGAGACGUCUCAUCUCACUCCCUGCAGACCGUGGAUCCCCUGGGAGCUGUCAGAGUCACCUUGUUCUUCCUCUGUGGCGCCCCUGCCGAGGCUGGGUGCCCAUAGACACUUCAACAGCACGAUGAACGACUGGCAUAGAAUCCUGUCUUCUGUACCCCAAUAGCUUAGGUCAUUGCAUGCAUAGGUGGUGGUGGGGGGGCAUCUCCAUCCCCACAGCACUACGGUUAUUAACUGCAUGUACCAGCUAUGGCAGCCAGCCCAGGCACACAGGAGUAACCUGAGUGGGGGGCCUUGAAGCCCUGAAAGGACUUGGGAGCAGGACGGGGAGGACCCGGGCCCCCACCCUCCCCUUUCCUUCAUCUCUCCCCGUUCCCUGUGCCCUUCCUCACCUCCCUCCACCGCCCUUCUCCUACCUUGUGCACCUUACCUCUUUUAUGGUGUCAGGAUUGUCAUGCUGGCCCCCUGAACUCACACAGGUGGAUGAAGUCCAGAUGAGGUUCGCUGUUCAGGUCUCAGAUCAUGUCCGAUGGGCAUAGAUCAUAACAAGUGGUCCCCUGUGCCCAGCAGCAGGGCUAAAGGUGGGUAGGGGCAGCUGGGGUGGUGGUGAUAGUUUCUCUGUCACCUUUCCCUUUCUUACUAUGGGGCCCAGUCCAGAUUACCUAGGUGUGGGGGCAUCUUCUUCCUCUGCUCCAGCCUGGUUAGGAGCUGGUAAAACUCUUGGCUCAGGGUCCUGCGUGGGGACCCCUAAUGUGACCCAUGGCCACCUGUAAAAGGGAGUAGCAGAUCCAGUCUUGCUGGUGAAUAGCUGGAGUCUAGGUUGUCACCAGCUCUGGAAGUGAUAUGCCUGGCUGAAGCCUGCAGGGGCAUCUUAUAAGGGGAGGACGGAGGCAAGGGAGGGGACAAGCAGGGUGGCCAAGGGAGGGCCUUGUGCUCUUCUUUGUUCCUGGAUGCUCUCAGAGCUCCCUGGAUGGGGACUGAAGCUGGCAAGUGGGGGCACUUCCUCAGUGGGUGGAGUCUGCAGUCAGGGGGCUGGUCUCUGAUUUUCACCUUUACUGUGGUGGGAGUGAUGUCAUCAUCACCUAGCAGGAACUUUCACACCAAUUUCUUACUUUGCUUUUUUUUCUCUUCCCCAGGAGAAACAAAAAAGGUUUGUGUUGUGCUUUUCAAUCUCUAUAAGUGGCUCCGCCGAUAACCUGAUAACCUACUGCUUUAACACCAGUUCUCUUUUUACAGCCUGGGCUGCCUUCUUCUCCUGUAAAUGGGGACAAAGCCCCAGCUGGAUAGAUUGGCAGGUCACUGGGCCUUUAUUGGUCUUUCAUAGACUGUGUAUGUGUGGGCUUAUGGGUAAACGUGCCCACCUUUGUGAUGAACAGCACUGGCAGCCUCUUGGCAGGCUCCUGGGCCACUGCUAGGUUUUCUGUUUAACUUUUCUACUUCUGCUCCCACUUGUCAGGGAAGGCCUUGGGUCCCCUGGCCGCAGCAGGGACAUAAGAGGCAUUUGCACGGCCACUGAACCCACAGAGGGCCUCACCAAGCAGGGACAGAAUUGUGUUCUAGAGGUCCAGCUUUAUGUAUGGGGUCCCCAGGAGAAUUUAGUAGGCUACAAGAAUGGUGUGUUUGUUCUCCCCAUGAGGACCCCAGUCCCACCUUGAGGUCAUAGACGCUACUUAGGAAUUCUAAGCAGCGUGUCACAUUGGGCAGGGCGUACUUUAGGAAGCAGAAGCCCUGAUGACAGCCUUGCCUUGAAACUGACCUCCCCUCACAGGUUCCCUGCUUAGGGAAUAGGAAGGCAGGUCAGUGGGAAGACAGUCACCCUGUCACUUGGAGGCUGGGGCUUCCAUAAGCAGUUUAUAAGGGAAUGCUGGGAUCGGCGCAGCCGAGCCUCUGACUUGGACCAUACUGUGUCGUUUUGGGGCUGUCAUAGAUAGACAGAUGGACAACAACAGCCUCUGCCUCUGGGGGCUGUUGUGAUGUCAGCUGUGCGUGGGGUCACAUGUUGGGUUCCGAGACCAUAGGUUAUGUGGGUAGAAGGUCCCAAGGUGAUAGGAUAAAGGCCAUGAAGGAGGUUCCCUAGGCCUCUCUCUGACCGCAGCCUUCUGCAGUCCUCCCUGUACCCCGAUUUUCUGAAGAGAUGACACCAGGAAGUACCUGGAUGAGAUGGAGGGUAGGAUUGCACUCUGUGUUGAUUACACUCAACACUUUAAUUGUGACCCCUUUGAAAUCUUCCAGAAGCCCCCCAUAGCUCUGUGUGAUGGACAGGGAAACUGAAGGUAGGAUGUGAUGUCUUGUUUACAGGGAUCUGGGGUGCGGGACAUUGGCAACUUCUUUAAGAGCAGGAGAAACUGCUAAAAUGAGGCUAAGCCCCUGACCUUGAACCUGGGAUCCUGCCCAUGAUCUCAUGGUGCUGCCGUCAGGGGUACAUUCCUUGUUAGAGAGGCUAGACAGUAGCCAGUCGCUCCUUAGGACCCACAAGGGCACAGUGGUACUAUGGGCUGGAGAGGGUGUAGAGGUCUUCUGCUCUCAGGGGCAUCUCUCAGGCCCCCACCUCAGCUGUCCCUGCUACAGGUGGGAUAUCACACUGCAUUGUCACGCUGGGUAUCCGGGGCCAUGACACAUUCUCAGGACAAAGGAGGGUCUCUUGGAGUUAACUCGAGGUCAGAUUUCCAGGCAGGAUAUAUAGGGCAGAGCUAGUAUCCCUUGGAUGUGAGGGCCCUGUGCAUUGUAUCUCCAUACUGUCCUUCAGGUCACACCGGGAGGGGUCCUUGGUUUUGUACCCCAGCCUGUUUGCAGACUUCCGGUGGAGGGGGUGCUUCUGAGUAGGGUUACAGGCUUUGUGAGUUUCGGCUACUUCCCCCAUUUCCCUACUUCCCCAGGAACUCCUUCCUCUCCUCAGACCAAUGUACCCCCAGGAAAGCCAUUUUUAGAGUGGGGAUCUAGGCCUUCUUCAUUGGGGGCAACUGUGGGAAUGGGUCCAAGGCAGUCCUGCAGACCCUCCAUGAGCUGUUUCAGGAAAGAGCCAAGCUCUCCUGCCCAGGCUCCUCCCACCCUUGUACAUGCCCACCCUCAACCCUCUGUGCAUACUCCGUCCUUUCUGCUCCCAUGCUCACUGUCCCCCAAACCUGUCUCCUGCUAUCACACCUUCCCUUGAGAACAAACGACAAAGCCAGAUAAUCUUUAUUCUCUUUAUUUGUGGGGCAAAAGCAGAAGCGGGAUGGAAAGUAUAGGAAGGUGCUCCUUCCCAUGACAAAGAGCAGUGGUCUGGGCUCCUUGGCACAGCAGGCUGGGUGUCUGGGGCAUCACCAGUGUCCUUGGGGGCUCCCUUCUUUAUGUGGGGUCUCUGGCCCCUGCACUGUCCAGCUGUCAGUUUUGGGAACGGGAGCCCCACUUGGUGCUACCACCUUUUCUGGUGGUCCCUGAGUCUCAGGGACCUUCAAGGUGGGCAAGUCUAUCAGGUAAGUCGCACUGGUACGUCGGAUGCCCCACAGAGCAGCUCUGCUCAGGUAAGUUCAGAGUUCAGGGUCAGAUGAAGUGUCAAGGGGGCCAAACCAGAUAGUGUGGGGUGGGCUUGUUUGCGUGAGGGGUGGGCUGGGAGGCACGGCACCACAGUACCUCGGGAGGCUGGGAGGGGGUGGGGUGGGGCCCAGGGGAGUUGGAGCACCGGUGAGGAGGUAGAAGUCCGUGGAGCACCCGAGGUCAGUGUCCCAGGAUGCACAGGUGGCCUCACGCCACUCGGGUGGUGGUGGUGGGGGGGGCUCCCUGGCAUCUGCUUGCUUGGCUGCGCCUGCUGUGCCUGUUCUGCAUCUGGCCUGGGGUUACAGGGUCAUUGUUGCUCAUCACUGCUUCCUCCUCUCAUUGAUCUCACUUCCCGCUGUGGGUCUGAGGCCCGUUCAGUUAGGACAGGGUGGCACACAGUCUUGGACAGUUAGCACAGGGUUGCACACAGUCUUGGCUGGUUCUGGGACGCUGACAGUUGGCUAGUCCUUUAACACAGAUGAUGUUGCUGGUUGAUGAAUUGAAGUUGUGGCCCUUCACAAGUGGGUUCCCCUUGGGUCAGGAGUGGUAGGAGGCGUCACUGGAUUUGAGCAAAGCUAGCUGAGGCACAAGGGAGAAUGGCAUCAACUUAGUUGUGUUUUCAGUCAAGUUCAUCAUCUGAUGAGUCUGACAGUGCUUCUAGCCUUGCCUGUUCCCUGGCUGGGGAAAACAGGACCAUUCUGGAGGCCAUGGUGAGGAAUCGUGUGAGGGUCCGGGCCACCUCAUCUCUGCUGAGCAGAGUAAGCCUGCCAUCGGCACCAAGAAUGUAGAGUAGGCGGUUGUUGAGGAAGUCAAGAACCUCUGGGUCCAUCAGAUUUCGCGGGCGGAAGGUGACAGCUUCUUGGUCUCCAAGCAGGGCUUCUUGGUCACCAAGAAGGGCUUCUUGGUCGCCAAGCAGGUCUUCUUGGUCGCCAAGCAAGGCAUCUUCGUCUUCAAGCAGGGCUUCUUGCACGUCGUUGUCCUGCGCGUCCUGCGAGGUGUCUUGCAGGCCGUCAUGCAGGCCACACUGUCGGUAACGUUGCAGGUCGUCUUGCAGGGCUUCUCGCAAGACGACAUCUUCAUCACCAACGACGUGCAGCUCCAAGUAUCGUUGCUGGUAUGGGUCCGGGAAGAUGUCCUCCUCGGGGUUGACUCUGACCCCGAAGAACUCACACAGGGUCAACCAGAACCCUGGGGUAAAUCGCAGGCCCCGUGGGGGCUGGGAAUGCAGGGCAUUCCGAUGCCAGCACCUGGGGCUCAGGUACAGUUCAGCCAGCUCUCGAGCUGGGAGGGUGUUGGCCCGCGCUACCCGGGGCAUCUGGCUGAGCAACUGAGCGAUGGCUGUGGCCAUGCCACUACCUGCAAUGAGGCUUGAGUCCAGGAUGAGCCGGAGUGUGUGUCGGGGCUCAGGCCUGGCCACCUCCAAAGAGGGGGCAGGAAGUGGGGAGAGGGGCUGCCUCACCCUCAUCAUCACCAGGAGGGAUGCCACACCCAGGACACUCUUCCAGUAGAGCAGGCCACGGAAGAAGUGUAGGACAACGGACCGGAUCUGGACCCUGCUGAAGUGGGUCAUGAGGCUGUUGAGGAUCUGUUCUAUUGGGAUGGCAGAGAGUACCUCCUGUACCACGGCCUGCCGUUUCAACUCUGCCCCUUCCUCGUCUGACUCAUCGUCACUGUCCUCGGACUCAGUCUCAGCCUCGGGCUCGGACCCAAAAUCAGAGAACGCGUCCCUUUGGCUUGCCCUCAGGGCAAGAAGCAGCAGUGGCCGCAUGUACCUGCCCAUCGAGAAUCUCAGGUUUGGAUUUCUACGGGACAGAGCUCGGGGGUCAUCAUCAUCAGGCAGCUCCAUCACAUCAUAAUGGAAGUGAGCGAAGAAGUAGAGCCAAUGCCCGGGGAGAAGUACGGUGAGCCUGUCAUUAUUCAGAGAGGCUAGAUCCUCUGUGUUGAGAAGGAUCAUGAUGGGCUCCUCGGUGUUCUCCAGGUAGCGACACCACACCAUGAAGGAAGCCCGGACUGGAAGGAUCCUCAUCUCCACUUGAGGGUACUCCACCUCGAUUGGGGAGAGAUGUCGUGAGUAGAAAGAGCAGAUAGCUUUCUUGCCAGUUUCUUCAUCAGUUUGGAUCAGGGAGGCAUGUAGGAAUGACCCAGUGACGCCUGUUUCCAAGUAGAAUGGAUUCUGAGGCUUGGGAUGGUACAGAAAGGGCGCCUUUCGGAAAGCGCCCUUCAGGCAGUCUAAGGCUUCCUGAUGUUCUUCACCCCAGCAGUAGGGCUCUGAGCUCAGCAGCAGUUUCACCAGGGGCUCUGCCAUGAUGGCAAAGUGCUCCACGAAGUGGCGGUAGGGAUAGAAGAGUUCGAUAACGCUUUGCAGGGAUUUCCUGUCGCUGGGGGCAGGACACCCCAUGAUGACGUUCAUGAUGGUCUUGUUCAGUUUCACCCCUUUGGGGGAGAGGGCGAAACCCAUGAAUUCUGCCUUAUGGCGAUGGAACUGGGUUUUGUCCAGGGAGCAGUGGAUAUUGUUAUUCCGAAGGCGGAGCAGGAUUUGGCGGACAUGAUCAGAGUGUUCCUCCUGGCUCAUUGAGUAGAUCAGGAGCUCUCGGCCAUGGGCAAUCACAAAGAAGCCUAGGAUGUCUUUUAGGAUAAAGUGAAUCUCAGUAUCACAGUCGUCAGCAUAUGAGUCUAUUGUGAAGGGCCGGUAGCAUCUAAUCUGGGAAGAGGUCAAACCAAAUGUUGCUCUCCAUGUGUCUUCUGUGUGUGUGAGGCUGUAGUCCACCCUGGGUUCCUUAGCAAUGUCUCGCAGCUCCAGUUUUGUGAACCAUGUAGCUCCAUGUAACUGGUCAAACAGUUCUGGCAUCAUCUGUAUGUAGUCCUGUCUGUCAUUCAGCAUGUCAUAUAGUAUCCAGAAUUGCUCUUGCUGCCUGGCUUUUUCUUGCGUCCUGGCUCUCACAGAUUGAUAAGGCCUCUUGGAAGAACUCUCAUAAAAGACGUCGUUGCGAUCACUGUCUCCAGCCUGCUGAAGCUCAGAGGGCUCUGAUUCAGAAAGAUCAUCGGAUCCGUCUGAGCUUGGCUGGUCGGAAGUCUCAUCAUCUGCUUCCUUCACGAUAAACACAUCGGCCAGGUCUGAAUACAUUUGCGGCAAUCCGGGUAGCAUGGUCAUGCUAACUUUCUCCAGUGCGAUGCAUGGUGGGGGUGGGUGGAAGCAAUUCUUCAGGCAGUAGGGAGAGUGGAAGGUGCAACGGCCUUUGAGCCAGUCAACUUCAGGUGUAUGGGUACGGAGCCACUUGAUGCCGAGGACCACAGAGAACUGCGAUGAAGGUACGAUGUCAAAUUCGAUGUACUCACAGUGAUUCUGCUGGAAACAUAUCAGGGGUUCGGUGCACAGCGAGAUAGGUUCAUUGCCGGUCAGGGAGCCAUCCACGGUUUGGACUGCCUGUGGAUAGGGUCUCUCGUAGAGCUCCACGUAGUGUUCUUGGGCAAACUUCUCGUCCAUGUAGUUCCCUUCUGCUCCUGAGUCCACCAGGGCCUGCACUGCGACACUGUGGUAGGGGUUCACCCUCACCAUGAGCAGCAGGAAGAGGUGGGCACGAUUGAUGUUGGGAUAAAACGCAUUGGGCAGCCAGCUGCUCACAUACCACUUCUGGGGGAGAGGUGUGUCCAUCCAGAUAAUGCUUCUUGGGCGGGCCUCGGGGGGCAGCCUGAGUAUUGCCCUUCUCUCUGCCAGCUUAUCUUCAAUUUGCAGGACGAGCACCAUCAGGUUCUCCAGGCAUGCCGGCUGGGGGAUUCGAAACAGAUAAUGCCUGAUGUCUUCAUUGAGCCCGUGGCACAGGUGGGCCUGCAGGACUUCAUCUGGCCAGCCCAAGAGAAGUGCCUGAGUUUGGGGAGCCGGCCUUCUUCGAUGGCUUGCAUCAAGAUCCUCUCCGCUACUCUCUGUUGGUGUUCAAUGUCAUGCAUUCGGAGGAACACCGAGAUGAUGGACUCCAUUGUGGCCAUGACUUCUUCUGGAGAGCCCCCGGGCUGAGCCUCCUCUCCGAGGUUCAGCUCAUCUUCUUCAUCUUCCAGGCAUCCUGUUUGGACCCCACAGUACUGGAGACGGGUACCACCGUGCAGCCCCACAGCAGCCAGGGGGUGAACACUGCACCCUGAACAAUAAGUCUCUGCUGGAGCUCCUGUCUGGCUCUGGCAAGCUCCAUUACCAUGCCUGGUGCUACGAAGGCUACAUGGAUACAUCUUGAGGGCUGCAGUUGUGGGCGUGGGAGUAUGGUGAAUCUUGGGAGGUGGUGACUUCGAGGCAGGAAGACUUCAUCCUAAGGGUUCUGAGAGGUAGGGCUAGGGCCAGGGAGAGAGGGUGGUCAGCCCUACAACCCGCUCUUUGGCCAUUUAGAAAGGGAAGGAGGUGUUCCCUUUGUAAACUGUGAAAAACUGUGCAUGAGUUCUUGUUACUAGGGUUUAUCUGAUUAUUGCUUUUAGAACACCCACUCUAAUUGCAGGGGUCAAGAUUUAGACCAGCAUUGUACAUAAGGUGCCAACUUUAAUUUUCCAAUUAGCCUCAUGGCAGGAACAAGCUCUGCACUGAAAAGAAUACACUAGAUUAAAAAGGUAGACUUUCUGUCCAGGACCCUUGAUUAUCAGUGGCAAGAAUGCAGACCCAAUCCAUUGACAACCACUCUUACCAGGGCAAAGAGUGGUUGAUAACCAUUCUACAAGGGACAGGGUAUGGCCAUGCAGAAGACUUAGGGUGGUCCAGCCACACCUGGAACCCCCAUGCCUCAGACAGGGCUAACUACAAUUUUCCAAUCAUAGUGAAAUCUGCCCAGUACUAAGCUCUAUCUUAGUUUUAAUGCCAUCAUUGGAGGGGUGGCAUACCACUUUGCGGAAUUAAACUGACUUUUAGAGGGCUUGGUGCUGACUUCCAGUGUCCGGGAAGGCAGAGGCAGAGACAGGGGCAGGGCUCUGAGCCAGGUUUCUCCCCCUCCCCUGGUAGAUGGCACAGGCAGAAACAGGUGCCCAAAGAGGGAUCAUGCAGUUGCCAUUUGGGGAUGUGGAGGGCCUCGUGGCCAAAGACUGCCUUCAUUCCAGGCUGUUGAUGCAGUCAGUCUCGUGGUCUGACAGGCAGCUAGAAACAGAAGUGGGGGCCUUAGUGUCUGCCUCCAUCUCCCCAAAAGGCUUGUGCUGUCAUUCCCAAUUCAUUUUGUCCUAUUUGGUGUCAGCAGAGGGACAGGAUGGGAUAAGACAGCUGGCUGAGUCUCUAAUUAUAGCUUCUCAAGUAUUUGAACAGAGGUAUUGAGUACCCCAGAACACGUCCAAACUAACCCCUUAACCUUUAGUCCCUAGCAUGGCCUUACCCUAUCCAUUGACCAGGUGCCCCCUUCUCCACUGGGCAGAGGCCAGCAUGGGCACCCUACCCCUGCUUACCUUGGCCGCAAGUGUCCAAGUGGAUCUCCUGUGGUCCUGCUGGACUCAACCCUCUCUUCUUUCCGGAAGCUGUUGGAUGAAUGUGUUUUCUUAGUUAUGAAGGUAACAUCCAGUGGCAACUCCCCAGUCCCUUUGCCUAGUCCCCAGAACAGGAUUCCUGCCUUGAGACAUCUUUUCUGUCCUAUGUAUUUCCCGUUUGUCAGACAUGUCUGGUGAGUGUUCACACACUUGAAUUCUUUCACUCCUUAGGAUAAUUUACAUAGGCAUUGCUUUAGCAAAUUUCCACUUUGGAAAAGAAGAAUAUGAGGCUUGGGGUCUUAUUGCUUGCUAAUUUGUGUGGGUCCAAUGGCCCUAUUGAAGGCCAGGCAAAGCCUAAUUCAUGGCAUGCCUCAGCCAGAGCCCCAGCUUUCACAUGCCCAUGCUGGUACUUGUGUGCCAAGCUUUUUGCCUUGAGAUGGGCUCCUGAACUUGGUGAGCCAUCUCUUCACAGAGGACCCCUAUUCAGUUCUCCAGCAAAUAGAUAAAGAUUUGAUGUGAGUUUGGCACCCAAUUUCCUCUCCCGAUGACCUUUUCUGCCAGGGACAACUGUUGGAAUAUUUCCAGGAUGGUCCCCUCUUCCUUAUGCUGAAUCCAGUCCACAGUGAACCCUUUAAUCAUGGUGGUGAUCAGCAGUACUCAUCUGCUUCAGGCACACAGUAGGUCUACUGGUGGUAAUUAGGCUUGUGUCAAAGGCCCAGGGAGGCAGGGGACUCCUGACUCUCAUAUUUAGUGAUUUCUCCUCUUCUAGGUAGCCUAGAGACAAGAUGGCUGCUUUCUCCCAGGAAGGGAGCAGAUGCCUGGCCAGGAUCAGAAAAAAAGGUCUGUGAAAGGGUCUCUCUUCCUUCUAACAUGUUAAUUUAGAGAAUUUGCAAAUUUGUGGAUUUUCCAGAAUGGAACUAACUGAAGCCCUUCAUUUUGCAGCUGGGGCUCCCUGCCCCCUUAAGGGGCAGGGAGCCAGUGAUUCCUGGGGGAGCCCUGGUCCCUCUCAGGGUGGCCUGUCCUGUGUGACCUCGGGGAGCCAGCAGCCCAGACUCAGUGCCCUGCCAGGUAUGUACGCACCUCUUCCUUUUGCUUUCUGUUCUGUUUUGGGGGAAAGGGGCUUCUAGAGGAGUGGAAGUCACACAGCCCUAACAAGCUGGUGUCCCUGUCUCUCUCUGUGUGUAACCAAGGGAGGCUUUACUACCCAUCACCUGAUGUGAGGAUGACCACUAUGACUCCCUGAUGGGGGACAGAGGCUCAUAUAGGGUCAGAGAGGACAAUCUGCCCUCCGCGGAAGGUGGGUGAUCUUGGAACCCUGCCUGUAGCUAGUUCCCCCUUCUGUAAUAUCGGGGCAGCUAUGCCCAAGUCUUGAUAGCUGAAAUAGAACAAAAUAGAAAAUGGCUGACUGGUGAGGAGCCCCUGUGGCAUGCACAGGUGACUGUUAGGAGGGUCCUUCCUCCUGUGGACCCAUCGGAAAGCCCCCCAUCUCAGCAUUUUGGAGCUAAGAGGAAAACGGAUGAGAGGCUCAAACAGGAAGGCAGCAUUAGGCUCCCUCGGGGUGUUCCCUGGGUUUCCACAGGCUUCUUCUGUGUCCACGUGGAAGUAACCCUGGGCUGCAGGCCAAGUGUAGGGAGUUUCAUCUGGAUUCUGUUUUUUAUUUGUCAUAAAAAUAUUUUGCAUUUGUGAGAUGCAAAAUGAAACAGGCAGACCCUUGCCUGUUAGCUUUAAGGUAUUCCCAGGUACUGCACCCACUCCACAAAGCCUAUGGAUGAAACAGCAGAACCUCAAGUGUGACAGAGAUGAUUAAGGGCUGGCCAUGAAGGCAGAAGGCUAGUUAACUUGCCUCAGAUUUUUUUUUUCCUGCCUAAAAUCAUGGUGGGAAAUGGGUUUGCAUUUCCUCAGAGGAGGCUGUUAUCUAGUAAAUGAAAAUGUGGCUUUGCAAAGACAAAGGUGGACGAGGUUUCAGACUGCUGAGUUUAGAAAGGGUUAAUUUUCUUGGUCGUUGUUCUGGGGGUCUCUGAGCCUCAGGCAUUUCUCUGAAGAUGUGGGUGUAAUCAUAUUAUCUUUGUCACAGACUCAACCCUAAGCGUGUUCUGAGAAUCUGACAGCCUGUGACAGCUGCAGGGACCUCACUAGCUGGGUCUGAAGCUUAGCCUGCAAGCAGGACUCGGGGUACCUUGGAAAGAAAGGGACUUCUGAGGAGGAGUUCAGGGUACCAUGCACUACCUGUGGGUUAGCAAUGGCAAUGCAGGACCGUGCGGGUUAGACGCCGGAGGUACACGGUCAUAGUACGUGCUGCUUGAGAGUCAAACUGUCCAGGCACGCAGCAAAGCCCCGGCUCUUUGCCAGCAAGCAGGCUCCACUGUUGACACACUCGGGCUGCUGUGUCUGCAUUUCUCCAGAGGCCCAUGUCCCCUCUGCCAACAUCUAUCUCAAGUCACAUUCCCUUGGACUUCUCAUUCCAUACAGCUAAUCCCCUAGAACACGGGCCAGCGCAUUAGCUUUCUGGGCCUCUUAAGGGCCGAAAAGGAAAAUGUUCCCCCAUGGGUACAUUGCAAACACUGAGGGCGGGAGACCACGGUGGUGAAAUCAUCGCCUGAGGCUCACACCUGCCGGCUACAUGUCACUGACAAAGCUGCACAGGCAGUGCUAGGCCUUCAGUCUUGGAGGACAUAAAAUAAAAAUUUAAAAAAAGAAAAAAGAAAAAAAGGAAGAUAAACCUUGAGUCCCUGUGUGUACAGAACGGGCUUUGCACACCUAUAACUGACUUGUAAUUUGUCAGCUAAAAUGCUUGUUGGAUUUGUUUUUUGUUUGUGAAAGCCAAAAAGAAAGAAAAAAACUCUAAACAAACAAAUAAAAAAAAUAACCUACAGAAAAACUACCACACAAAAUAUUUAUUGUAGUUAUACAGGAAACGUACUGCUAAUUAAUAUGGUGGUGGUAGCACUUAGCCUCUCCCUCAAUCCCCUCCUCAAAUUAGGGGCUGUGGUCCUUCUGGGCUCCUGCAUUUUCCUGUCCAUUUGCAUAUGUCUAAUAAGCACACCACCUGAGUAUAUGACUUUGUUUCUUUUGUAUGGGGGCUAUUUCAGAGCUAGUGUUUUUCCUUGUGCAUUUUGUAGCAGCUUGUUUUUCUUCUCCCCAGAAUGUGCUUGGCAAUAAUAAAGAUCCAUAGCCUUCCUUAUGACACCCAGCACCUCACAUUCCCAAACGGUGUACACACUGGAGUUGAUUUAACCAUCUCACUGCCACCCUGAAAUCUGGGGUCCUUUAUCUUGGCAGGUGUAAGUAAUUAUUGAGUUAUUUGGAAUUGGGGAGUGAGCUCACGAGUAUUUAUGACAUUAAUUCAAAUGAAUGUAUGAAUGCAUACAUUAUCAGAAUAAAAGGCGAUAUGCCUUCAUCCAAUGAUAGGACAGUGUCUAUGAACAAAGGAUCAUGAUUAAUCUGGUUCUUUAUGAAAUCCAGAGGUCCAUUAAAAGACAAUAGGUCUAUCUGUUUUCCUCUUUUUAAGAGCUGUUUAAUAUUCUGGCAUAUGUAUGCCACGCUGUGUCUUUAUUAUUGAAAAUCCCAGCUGUACUUUUCUCAUUGAGAGAAUGUACAGAUAGGAGCCUGGUCAAAACCCUACUCAUCAGGGCAGGUCAUGGGUUCCUGGUUGCUCAUUAUAAUAUUUAAAAAAUAAAAUCACAAAUACAUAAAAAAGGUGGUAUCUACACGGAUCAGCGAGAAGGGCAUGCCACACACACACAUUUUAAUUAAUGUGAUUCAGCUCCACCGAUGGUCGAUUAAAAAGACCUAAGCUGUUUUUAUUUUAUGCCAUUGCUGAUAGCACCACAGAGAACAUUCUGGUAGCUAAGCUUUUGAACACAUCCCUGACUGUGUUUACCCCAGCUCCUUAAUGGGAGGAAAUGGGGGGGAUAGCUGAGUAAAUGGUUUGCACAGAUUUAUUUUCAUUGAACGAUCUUUCUGAAAUACCAUUUUGACCUUGUUACCAUCUCACCUUCCAAUCCAGUCCUCUAGCUGACUUCCCACAGCUUCCGGGAUGUCAUCCAAGGGGAAAGGAAAAAGAAAAGGAAAAAAGCCUGAUACUUAAGUCUGUUGAGCCUCUGGCUCAACCUCAUGCUCUAUCACCCUAUGUCCUCACUGGACAGACUGUGCUUAGGGUUAUGAACAACCUUGACAUACCACCCCCAAUAUUAAAUAGUAAUAUUUAUAAUAGUAAUAGUAAUAGUAAACCCCUAGUAAGAUAUGUGCCCCACCUAUGUCCAAAAUUCCUCAGACCGUGGUCAGUGGAACUGUGGUGCCUUGCCCAUAAGAUUUUUUUCCCUUCCCCUGUAAUUAACUGAGGGGAUCAGAUGUUAAUCACCUGUUCUUUUGUCCCCUCCAGAAACCCUGUCUGUGUUUCCAGAGACUGACUUCUGAGACCCUCCCUGGUCAGAGGGCUGUGUCACACGCUGUGUGGUGCUGAUCUCUGUCCAAAGUACCUUCCUGGCACUUUCAAGGGGCGUGUGGGGUUCUCAGAGGUAAGUACAGCUUGAAAUUCAGGGCUUUAACCAAAUGCAACCUUAGUGAGGCUCACGUUCUACCUAAAAAUGGGGAUAAUUUUGGAUGCCUCUCAGGGCCAUCAGGCAAGUUGGAAACAGGUACAUACAUAUCCCCCAGACCCAUAUCAAACAAACAAACAAAAAGACGCAGUAGCCAGCCGCUGCUACUUGAAUUAUUCGUUUUUUUUUUUUUUUCCCCCGGAAAUCUCUAAAAGAGCUGGACUGAAUAUACAAGUCAGAGCUGGCUAUCGUUCACAAAACAAAAGGCACCUGGCAGGCCAGGGCCCCUGAGUGAUUUAGAUAUAGCGUAUGCUACAUCUCAACCGGGACAGCCUGCAGCCCAGGGGGCUAUGUCCAGGGACCCCCACAGGGCGUUGGUCCACUAGAUGGCACUCUCUGCUGUGUGUCCAGGGCAGACCACUCCCCAAGGUACUCAAGCCACAGCGGAAAUAUCCCAGGUAAUUCUAAAACAUCAUCUCCACAUGCCGUGCAAAACGCAGUGGUUUUUCUCCCCACAUCCAUCCCAGCCCGGCAGCAGAAACACAGAGAGCAAAGAUUUCAUAACAAUUUGCUGAGACCAAACACUAGACAGCCCACUCCCCCUUUUAAUUCUCCGUCCCUGCUACAUCUGAUUGCUCAUUAUUUUACAGAUGAGAGGAUGAUGAGGGGACAAGAAUUUGCCCAGGAUCGGCUAGUAAGCAGGACCCGGGGCUCCAGCCCAGGUUUGUCUGAUUCCCUUGCAAAACAGAGAGGUGGAAGGAUGGAGAAUCGGUCUGAUGGAUGGGGCUGAUCAUUCUCAGACGAUUUUGCCCUGUCCUCAGCAUCUAGACCUAUUGCCUAGCACAGAAUGGGAGGGAGGAUGUCUGGUGCCUAGUCUCAUCCACACCGAGGAAUGUCCGCGUGUCCACAGCAGUCUGCACGGUACCCGCAUGGAGGCCCUAAUGUGAAUGGAGACUAGCCUGCUGGGUGAGACCUUGGCAGUGACCACUGUGGGCAAUGAGCCAUGGGCCAACAAUUCUAUGUGAGCCUGUCUCUAAUAUUGAAGAUUUAUAUAUCUUAAUGGGCAAGAACCAUAAAGGUAUUGUCAAGUUUAAUAGUGGCAUGCUAAGUGGUUGUUUUGAGUGUAUUCUUAUAUUAUCAAAUGGCUUCAACUAAUGAUUAGUGAAUACUAAAAUGCUCAGAAUGUAGCUCAGUCUGAGAAUACUUUCCUAUCAUAAGUCAGGUCCUGUGUUUCAUUCCCAGCUCCACACAAUUAUGCUGGAGUCUACCUGUGGCACAAAGAUGAUAAUAUGAUGAUUUUUGAUUAGUUCAGAUCAACAGAAGUGUAAUUCAAAAAUGAAAGAUCUCAAUCCACUUCAACACAACUCUAUUAACACAUAAUUCCAUGAUGUACCGCUGAUGGUGCCUGUCUGAACCUGAGACACUGUGGGCCAGGAAUCAAGGGACUCAUUUUGUGCUUGACUUCACCAAGUGGAUACACCCCCUCCAACUGAAUCAUCCUGGAAUGCCAAAGGUCUAGGUUUUUACCUCUGUGGGUAAGGAAAGAAGAGAUUUAUAGAUUUUAUCAUGUUCUAGUCAUGAUGACCACCUCCGUGCAUCCAAACUCAGAGCAUGAAGCCCCAGGUAAGCAAACAUCCAUGUUGAUGUACUGGGAUUGUGUGGGCCUCCUUUACAGUCGCCAGCUAAACAAUCUUAGUACAUUAAAUUUUUAAAUAAGAUCUGAAUUGAGGAGUGCCAAUCAUGGGCUUGCAAGUGAAAUAUCUCAUGAACACCAACAAAAAAAUUAUGCCUAAUUCAAUUCAACUCAACUAAGGACCAUUCCUAAAGAGAUGAUAGACAUUCUACACAUUUGACUGCCCUAUAAAGCAUCAGAUAUGGCUGCUUCAUAGAGCCCUUCCCUAGCAAACAGCUUACUGUGAACUCCUCAUAGCAGAAGUACAGUAGAGGAUAGCAGAUGUCAGUCCCGUCAAGUUUGUGCCUUUAUGUAGGUUUCAACCAGCUUUGAGAGACAGACGCCCAUCGUGAGAUAGGGCUUGACAAGAAACCAGUCUGCUGAUUAAUCCACAUGUUCCAACUAGAUGCUCUCAGAGAUAAACAAUACAGGCUAUUUUCUCUACAAAACAAAACAAAACUACUGGUUACUCAGACGUCCAUGAACGAUCACAUCAACUUAAGAAAGUGUUACUGGAGAGUAGGACGCCAUGCCUGCAUCUUAUGACGCCUGCUGGUAGAGGCAUGUGAAGCAGCAGCUCAGGGAAAGCCUGAGGGUAACUCUGAGGUCCAUUACUCAGUGAGAGAUAGACAAGGUUUUGUGUAGAAAUUGUCUGUGAGCAGAAGUUGGAAAAAUUCUGUCAACUUUCCCCUCUGGAUUUUGUUAUUCAAUGAUAUGAAGCUUGUUAUUUGAAGAGAAUUGCUAUAUAAGUAGGAAUUAGAUACAUAAUAUAAGACAUGAUACAUAAGAAAGACACACCUAUUUGUCCAACAAAUAAUAUAAUAAGCCAAGGAUAAUUAAUGCUAUUGCUUGCUGAAAAGCAAGAACACUUGUUAAUUGGAAACAAAUCAGGAGGGAUCUGUAACCCUCUUUCAUAUUGAGCAUGUUAGUAGCUGUAGUUAAGAGAGUUGCUUGGGUGGGUACUGUUCAUUAAGAAAAGGGAAAAUGCAUCAGCUAACAAUUUGUUCAAUACCCCCCUGAUUAAUAAAUGUUUCUAAUUGUUGUAGAAUUUAUUCUCAGGCAAGAUAGUGGACUUACAUGUUUACCAUAUUUAAAAUCCCAAGUUUGAUAUUAAAUCUAGAGUUCAUUAUUAUGUAAUUCUGCUUGACCCGUGAAAUUCUAAGUCUAUUCUAAUUCUUCUUUUCCCUCCUGUGGUGAAUGUAGGAGCCCUGAUUUAAUUAUUUAAUACGGAAUCAUUGUCCUGAGUAAGGAGCAUAGUUGAGAAUAAAGAAUGAGUGCGGCUGCUAUGGCUUCAUUAUUACCUUCUGGGAAGACCUUGCCUGUUUACCUCUGCAAAAGGAGGGAAGACACAAUUGUGCAUCCCUCAAAAGCAGUGGCUCGGUCUGCUUUAAACAAUGGGACACAUUAAUAAUCUCUACACACACUCUCGGUGUUUACCUGAAGACCCAAAACCUGUGAUGAUGUUUGACACCGUGUUUCCUGGCUGGGAGGUCCGUGGUUGCCCUGUCCCCAUGUGUUGAGGAUCAAGGGAAGUGAUAUUACCCUUCUAUCUGGAUCACGAUGUCUACGGCUAGCCUAGGGUCUUUGGAGCACAGUGAUCAUUGCUCAUCCCUCAGAAGGAAUGGCUUCUGUCUGCUUUAAACACUGGGCCACACCCAUAAUCCCUAUACUUAAUCUCAGUGCUUAUACGAAGACCCAAAUCCUGUUGCUCAUCUCACAGAAGGAAUGGCUUCAGUCUGCUCUAAACACUGGGCCACACCCAAACUCUCUACACUUCCUCUUGGUGUUUACAUGAAGACCCAAAAUCGGAUGAUGAUUGACACCGUGUUUCCUGGCUGGGAGGUCCGUGGUUGCCCUGUCCCCAUGUGUUGAGGAUCAAGGGAAGUGAUAACCUUCAUCCAGUACUAAUGGAAGCAGAUGCAGAGAUCCACAGCUAAGCCCUUUGUGGAGCUCCCGGAGUCCAGUUGAAGCAAAGGAGGAGAGAUUAUAUGAGCAAAGGGGACAAGAUCAUGAUGGGGAAAGCCACAGAGACCUGAGCUCAUGGGAGCUCACUGACUCUGGACUGACAACUGGGGAACCUGCAUGGGACCGAACUAGGCCCUCUGAAUGUGGGUGACAGUUGUGUGACUUGGACAACUUAUGGUGCCACUGGCAGUGGCACCAGGACUUAUCCUUCGUGCAUGAACUGGCUUUUUGGAGCCCAUUUCCCAUGGAAGGAUACCUUGCUCAGCCUUGAUGCAGCAGCUUGGUCCUGCCUGACCUUGAUAUGGCGGACUUCCUUGACUCCCCCUGGGAGGCCUUACCUUCUCUGAGGACUGGAUAGGAGGUUGGGUGGAGGAAAAUUGGAGGGUGGGUGGGAUCAGCGGGCAGGGGAGAGGGAACUGUGGUUGGUAUCUAAUGUGAAAAAAAGAACUCUGAAAUAAAAAAAAAAUAAAAUGACAAAAUGGUGGUCAAAAUUCUUGUUAAGGUUAGAACUGGGUCUCCUGUGUACUUUCUCAAGAAGAAUGUAUCAACAUUGUAUAAUCGUAGAUGAUUGAAAUAAAAAAGAAACAACACAAGGGUCAUUGUAUAGAACAUGAUUUUGUGAUUUUGUGUAUAAUCCUUUCUUCUUUUCAUCUCUCUGGAUAUUCCUGAGUUGCCCUUCCUUGUGGAUCACGAUGUCUACGGCGAGCCUAGGGUCUUGGGAGCACAGUGACCAGUGCUCGUCCCACUGAAGGAAUGGCUCAGUCUGCUUUAAUCACUGGGCCACACCCAUAAUCUCUACACUUAUUCUCAGUGCUCACCUGAAGUCCAAAUCCUGUGUGAGUAAUAUUCAAAAUUAUUGUCUUGUUUUGCUCUAUGUUAUUAUAGUUUAGAGCAGAGGUUAGGUAUUCUGGAAAAAAACAAAAAACAAAAUAAAAUCAGAGGCACUUUUAUUGUUAAUGAAUUACUGUGCUAAAUAACAAACACACACAUAUUACUAGAUAGAGAAGAGGUAGGCUAUCACGGACCAAUGAUGACAAUUCCCCUGCGGCGAUAUAAGUCACGGACGAUGACUACAAUUAUGGGUGUCUGAGGUUCUUUCUCAUCAUCACACAUCUCAUUUGCUCCUGUUAGCCUGGAAAAACCACUAGGCUUGUGGAGCACAUACUGUUCAUUAGAAGCAUGCACUUUGAUGAAAUUUCUUAGUGGAUCAAUGGCAUGAUAUAAAUAUUCACACAAAUACAAAUGUAAAUAAAUAUGGUGGCAUUGAUCAAUGAGUAGAUAACUGUUCUACUACAAAUGCUACCGCUACUGCUUGUAGAUACUCUAGAAAUCUAUUAAAAGUUAAUUGGCUUAAAGAUGUAUAUAAACUUCAUCCAAGUUCACAUAAGAAGUAUAAUUAAUGGAUUAAGGCCCAGUGAGGGUCAAGACCUUAAUCUUAUAUCUCACGUGAUUUCUUAAGACACUAUCAUAACCAUGUCAUCCUAAGUAACGAAUAGUGAAAGGAGAGAUGUAGAACUCAUUUGAAAACUAUCAAUGUUUUUAUUAUCUUCUCUGCUGUGUAAUCCCUGGAUGGAUGAUGAUUGCCACCUGGUUUCCUGGCUGGGAGGUCCACGGUUGCCCAGUCCUCCUGUGUGAGGAUCAAGGGAACUGAUUGCUCAUCCCUCAGAAGGAAUGGCGUCAGUCUGCUCUAAACACUGGGCCAUACCCAAAAUCUCUACACUUCCUCUCGGUGUUUACAUGAAGACCCAAAGCUAUGAUGAUGAUUGACACCGUGUUUCCUGGCUGGGAGGUCCGUGGUUGCCCUGUCCCCAUGUGUUGAGGAUCAAGGGAAGUGAUGUAAGUGGAGUCAAGAUUUUUGUUUUGCUUUGGGUGGCCUUGGUCACACGUUUAGGUUGUCUUGGUAAAGGCAUGCAUAGGCUCCUGUUAGGCCAAUUGAGACUGCGUGCUCAAUUAAACAUGACCAUGAGCACCGUGUUGGGGAUUUCCAAAAUUAAGUAGAAAGACAGAAUCAGGGUGGCACAAAAUCUGUUGCAUAAUUUCAAAACAAAUCCAGAUUUUGUGACUUGUUACAGGACUACUGGGAGUGAGGCGGAUAGUUAGGUGAUAAAUAUAUAGAAAGUGUGAGAGAAAGGAAAAGGCAGUGUUGGAUCAAUGAUGACCACUGAUGACGAUUGAUCCAUGGAGCAUGACUACAGGUCUGAGUGUCUGAGCUUCACACCAGAACACAUGUAGUGUGGAAUUGUGAUAGAUGUCAGGUGUAGUGCGUGAUAGUGUAUUAUCAUAGUAUUUUUGUUCAUGAGUUUUCAUUACAUUCAUAUAAUUAGAGUCAAAUAAAACACAUGAGAGGGGAAGGGCUUCUCAAAUAAUACCAUGUAGUAAUGCUAAGAGUAUAUACAUAUAUAUAUAUAUAUAUAUAUGCAUCAAAGUUCAGGAACCCACUAGUAAUGGCUUUCCAGAGGUAUAAUCCCUUGGCUAAGGAUGCUUGGUGCUGUUUGCCAUGAUAGUCAAGUAAAGCCAGGGAUAACCAGGCUACAAUCCACAGCCCCAGAGAUACUAGGUAUCAAGGAGGACCUUAAGAGAGAUAGAUAGAUGUACAUGCCCCCUCCUGGGAAGGGGAAAUCAAUCAGAACUCCUGAGUGAAUUGCCAACCUGGGAGGAGGGGUGGAGAUAAGCGGAGGUGGAAAGAGAAGAAUGAGGGAAGUAGAUGGUGCAUUUGGGGGAGGGACAGAGAUGGAGAGACCUGAAAGAGAUGUCUUGAUGGAGGGAGCCAUUAUGGGGUAAGGAAGAAACCUCGUAGAAGGGAAAUUCCCAGGAAUCCACAAGGAUGAGCCCAGCUAAUACUCCGAGCCAUAGUGGAGGGGGUGCCUCAACUGGCCUUCUCCUCUAAUCAGAUUGAUGACUACCCUAAUUGUCAUCAUAGAACCUUCAUCCAGUACUAAUGGAAGCAGAUGCAGAGAUCCACAGCUAAGCACUUGUGGAGCUCCCGGAGUCCAGUUGAAGCAAAGGAGGAGAGAUUAUAUGAGCAAAGGGGACAAGAUCAUGAUGGGGAAAGCCACAGAGACCUGAGCUCAUGGGAGCUCACUGACUCUGGACUGACAACUGGGGAACCUGCAUGGGACCGAACUAGGCCCUCUGAAUGUGGGUGACAGUUGUGUGACUUGGACAACUUAUGGUGCCACUGGCAGUGGCACCAGGACUUAUCCUUCGUGCAUGAACUGGCUUUUUGGAGCCCAUUCCCCAUGGAGGGAUGCCUUGCUCAGCCUUGAUGCAGCAGCUUGGUCCUGCCUGGCCUUGAUAUGGCGGACUUCCUUGACUCCCCCUGGGAGGCCUUACCUUCUCUGAGGACUGGAUAGGAGGUUGGGUGGAGGAAAAUUGGAGGGUGGGUGGGAUCAGCGGGCAGGGGAGAGGGAACUGUGGUUGGUAUCUAAUGUGAAAAAAGAACUCUGAAAUAAAAAAAAAAAUAAAAUGACAAAAUGGUGGUCAAAAUUCUUGUUAAGGUUAGAACUGGGUCUCCUGUGUACUUUCUCAAGAAGAAUGUAUCAACAUUGUAUAAUCGUAGAUGAUUGAAAUAAAAAAGAAACAACACAAGGGUCAUUGUAUAGAACAUGAUUUUGUGAUUUUGUGUAUAAUCCUUUCUUCUUUUCAUCUCUCUGGAUAUUCCUGAGUUGCCCUUCCUUGUGGAUCACGAUGUCUACGGCGAGCCUAGGGUCUUGGGAGCACAGUGACCAGUGCUCGUCCCACUGAAGGAAUGGCUCAGUCUGCUUUAAUCACUGGGCCACACCCAUAAUCUCUACACUUAUUCUCAGUGCUCACCUGAAGUCCAAAUCCUGUGUGAGUAAUAUUCAAAAUUAUUGUCUUGUUUUGCUCUAUGUUAUUAUAGUUUAGAGCAGAGGUUAGGUAUUCUGGAAAAAAACAAAAAACAAAAUAAAAUCAGAGGCACUUUUAUUGUUAAUGAAUUACUGUGCUAAAUAACAAACACACACAUAUUACUAGAUAGAGAAGAGGUAGGCUAUCACGGACCAAUGAUGACAAUUCCCCUGCGGCGAUAUAAGUCACGGACGAUGACUACAAUUAUGGGUGUCUGAGGUUCUUUCUCAUCAUCACACAUCUCAUUUGCUCCUGUUAGCCUGGAAAAACCACUAGGCUUGUGGAGCACAUACUGUUCAUUAGAAGCAUGCACUUUGAUGAAAUUUCUUAGUGGAUCAAUGGCAUGAUAUAAAUAUUCACACAAAUACAAAUGUAAAUAAAUAUGGUGGCAUUGAUCAAUGAGUAGAUAACUGUUCUACUACAAAUGCUACCGCUACUGCUUGUAGAUACUCUAGAAAUCUAUUAAAAGUUAAUUGGCUUAAAGAUGUAUAUAAACUUCAUCCAAGUUCACAUAAGAAGUAUAAUUAAUGGAUUAAGGCCCAGUGAGGGUCAGGACCUUAAUCUUAUAUCUCACGUGAUUUCUUAAGACACUAUCAUAACCAUGUGAAUCCUAAGUAACGAAUAGUGAAAGGAGAAAUGUAGAACUCAUUUGAAAACUAUCAAUGUUUUUAUUAUCUUCUCUGCUGUGUAAUCCCUGGAUGGAUGAUGAUUGCCACCUGGUUUCCUGGCUGGGAGGACCACGGUUGCCCAGUCCUCCUGUGUGAGGAUCAAGGGAACUGAUUGCUCAUCCCUCAGAAGGAAUGGCGUCAGUCUGCUCUAAACACUGGGCCAUACCCAAAAUCUCUACACUUCCUCUCGGUGUUUACAUGAAGACCCAAAGCUAUGAUGAUGAUUGACACCGUGUUUCCUGGCUGGGAGGUCCGUGGUUGCCCUGUCCCCAUGUGUUGAGGAUCAAGGGAAGUGAUAACCUUCAUCCAGUACUAAUGGAAGCAGAUGCAGAGAUCCACAGCUAAGCACUUUGUGGAGCUCCCGGAGUCCAGUUGAAGCAAAGGAGGAGAGAUUAUAUGAGCAAAGGGGACAAGAUCAUGAUGGGGAAAGCCACAGAGACCUGAGCUCAUGGGAGCUCACUGACUCUGGACUGACAACUGGGGAACCUGCAUGGGACCGAACUAGGCCCUCUGAAUGUGGGUGACAGUUGUGUGACUUGGACAACUUAUGGUGCCACUGGCAGUGGCACCAGGACUUAUCCUUCGUGCAUGAACUGGCUUUUUGGAGCCCAUUCCCCAUGGAGGGAUGCCUUGCUCAGCCUUGAUGCAGCAGCUUGGUCCUGCCUGGCCUUGAUAUGGCGGACUUCCUUGACUCCCCCUGGGAGGCCUUACCUUCUCUGAGGACUGGAUAGGAGGUUGGGUGGAGGAAAAUUGGAGGGUGGGUGGGAUCAGCGGGCAGGGGAGAGGGAACUGUGGUUGGUAUCUAAUGUGAAAAAAGAACUCUGAAAUAAAAAAAAAAAUAAAAUGACAAAAUGGUGGUCAAAAUUCUUGUUAAGGUUAGAACUGGGUCUCCUGUGUACUUUCUCAAGAAGAAUGUAUCAACAUUGUAUAAUCGUAGAUGAUUGAAAUAAAAAAGAAACAACACAAGGGUCAUUGUAUAGAACAUGAUUUUGUGAUUUUGUGUAUAAUCCUUUCUUCUUUUCAUCUCUCUGGAUAUUCCUGAGUUGCCCUUCCUUGUGGAUCACGAUGUCUACGGCGAGCCUAGGGUCUUGGGAGCACAGUGACCAGUGCUCGUCCCACUGAAGGAAUGGCUCAGUCUGCUUUAAUCACUGGGCCACACCCAUAAUCUCUACACUUAUUCUCAGUGCUCACCUGAAGUCCAAAUCCUGUGUGAGUAAUAUUCAAAAUUAUUGUCUUGUUUUGCUCUAUGUUAUUAUAGUUUAGAGCAGAGGUUAGGUAUUCUGGAAAAAAAACGAAAAACAAAAUAAAAUCAGAGGCACUUUUAUUGUUAAUGAAUUACUGUGCUAAAUAACAAACACACACAUAUUACUAGAUAGAGAAGAGGUAGGCUAUCACGGACCAAUGAUGACAAUUCCCCUGCGGCGAUAUAAGUCACGGACGAUGACUACAAUUAUGGGUGUCUGAGGUUCUUUCUCAUCAUCACACAUCUCAUUUGCUCCUGUUAGCCUGGAAAAACCACUAGGCUUGUGGAGCACAUACUGUUCAUUAGAAGCAUGCACUUUGAUGAAAUUUCUUAGUGGAUCAAUGGCAUGAUAUAAAUAUUCACACAAAUACAAAUGUAAAUAAAUAUGGUGGCAUUGAUCAAUGAGUAGAUAACUGUUCUACUACAAAUGCUACCGCUACUGCUUGUAGAUACUCUAGAAAUCUAUUAAAAGUUAAUUGGCUUAAAGAUGUAUAUAAACUUCAUCCAAGUUCACAUAAGAAGUAUAAUUAAUGGAUUAAGGCCCAGUGAGGGUCAAGACCUUAAUCUUAUAUCUCACGUGAUCUCUUAAGACACUAUCAUAACCAUGUGAAUCCUAAGUAACGAAUAGUGAAAGGAGAAAUAUAGAACUCAUUUGAAAACUAUCAAUGUUUUUAUUAUCUUCUCUGCUGUGUAAUCCCUGGAUGGAUGAUGAUUGCCACCUGGUUUCCUGGCUGGGAGGACCACGGUUGCCCAGUCCUCCUGUGUGAGGAUCAAGGGAACUGAUUGCUCAUCCCUCAGAAGGAAUGGCGUCAGUCUGCUCUAAACACUGGGCCAUACCCAAAAUCUCUACACUUCCUCUCGGUGUUUACAUGAAGACCCAAAGCUAUGAUGAUGAUUGACACCGUGUUUCCUGGCUGGGAGGUCCGUGGUUGCCCUGUCCCCAUGUGUUGAGGAUCAAGGGAAGUGAUAACCUUCAUCCAGUACUAAUGGAAGCAGAUGCAGAGAUCCACAGCUAAGCACUUGUGGAGCUCCCGGAGUCCAGUUGAAGCAAAGGAGGAGAGAUUAUAUGAGCAAAGGGGACAAGAUCAUGAUGGGGAAAGCCACAGAGACCUGAGCUCAUGGGAGCUCACUGACUCUGGACUGACAACUGGGGAACCUGCAUGGGACCGAACUAGGCCCUCUGAAUGUGGGUGACAGUUGUGUGACUUGGACAACUUAUGGUGCCACUGGCAGUGGCACCAGGACUUAUCCUUCGUGCAUGAACUGGCUUUUUGGAGCCCAUUCCCCAUGGAGGGAUGCCUUGCUCAGCCUUGAUGCAGCAGCUUGGUCCUGCCUGGCCUUGAUAUGGCGGACUUCCUUGACUCCCCCUGGGAGGCCUUACCUUCUCUGAGGACUGGAUAGGAGGUUGGGUGGAGGAAAAUUGGAGGGUGGGUGGGAUCAGCGGGCAGGGGAGAGGGAACUGUGGUUGGUAUCUAAUGUGAAAAAAGAACUCUGAAAUAAAAAAAAAAUAAAAUGACAAAAUGGUGGUCAAAAUUCUUGUUAAGGUUAGAACUGGGUCUCCUGUGUACUUUCUCAAGAAGAAUGUAUCAACAUUGUAUAAUCGUAGAUGAUUGAAAUAAAAAAGAAACAACACAAGGGUCAUUGUAUAGAACAUGAUUUUGUGAUUUUGUGUAUAAUCCUUUCUUCUUUUCAUCUCUCUGGAUAUUCCUGAGUUGCCCUUCCUUGUGGAUCACGAUGUCUACGGCGAGCCUAGGGUCUUGGGAGCACAGUGACCAGUGCUCGUCCCACUGAAGGAAUGGCUCAGUCUGCUUUAAUCACUGGGCCACACCCAUAAUCUCUACACUUAUUCUCAGUGCUCACCUGAAGUCCAAAUCCUGUGUGAGUAAUAUUCAAAAUUAUUGUCUUGUUUUGCUCUAUGUUAUUAUAGUUUAGAGCAGAGGUUAGGUAUUCUGGAAAAAAACAAAAAACAAAAUAAAAUCAGAGGCACUUUUAUUGUUAAUGAAUUACUGUGCUAAAUAACAAACACACACAUAUUACUAGAUAGAGAAGAGGUAGGCUAUCACGGACCAAUGAUGACAAUUCCCCUGCGGCGAUAUAAGUCACGGACGAUGACUACAAUUAUGGGUGUCUGAGGUUCUUUCUCAUCAUCACACAUCUCAUUUGCUCCUGUUAGCCUGGAAAAACCACUAGGCUUGUGGAGCACAUACUGUUCAUUAGAAGCAUGCACUUUGAUGAAAUUUCUUAGUGGAUCAAUGGCAUGAUAUAAAUAUUCACACAAAUACAAAUGUAAAUAAAUAUGGUGGCAUUGAUCAAUGAGUAGAUAACUGUUCUACUACAAAUGCUACCGCUACUGCUUGUAGAUACUCUAGAAAUCUAUUAAAAGUUAAUUGGCUUAAAGAUGUAUAUAAACUUCAUCCAAGUUCACAUAAGAAGUAUAAUUAAUGGAUUAAGGCCCAGUGAGGGUCAAGACCUUAAUCUUAUAUCUCACGUGAUCUCUUAAGACACUAUCAUAACCAUGUGAAUCCUAAGUAACGAAUAGUGAAAGGAGAAAUAUAGAACUCAUUUGAAAACUAUCAAUGUUUUUAUUAUCUUCUCUGCUGUGUAAUCCCUGGAUGGAUGAUGAUUGCCACCUGGUUUCCUGGCUGGGAGGACCACGGUUGCCCAGUCCUCCUGUGUGAGGAUCAAGGGAACUGAUUGCUCAUCCCUCAGAAGGAAUGGCGUCAGUCUGCUCUAAACACUGGGCCAUACCCAAAAUCUCUACACUUCCUCUCGGUGUUUACAUGAAGACCCAAAGCUAUGAUGAUGAUUGACACCGUGUUUCCUGGCUGGGAGGUCCGUGGUUGCCCUGUCCCCAUGUGUUGAGGAUCAAGGGAAGUGAUGUAAGUGGAGUCAAGAUUUUUGUUUUGCUUUGGGUGGCCUUGGUCACACGUUUAGGUUGUCUUGGUAAAGGCAUGCAUAGGCUCCUGUUAGGCCAAUUGAGACUGCGUGCUCAAUUAAACAUGACCAUGAGCACCGUGUUGGGGAUUUCCAAAAUUAAGUAGAAAGACAGAAUCAGGGUGGCACAAAAUCUGUUGCAUAAUUUCAAAACAAAUCCAGAUUUUGUGACUUGUUAUAGGACUACUGGGAGUGAGGCGGAUAGUUAGGUGAUAAAUAUAUAGAAAGUGUGAGAGAAAGGAAAAGGCAGUGUUGGAUCAAUGAUGAUCACUGAUGACGAUUGAUCCAUGGAGCAUGACUACAGGUCUGAGUGUCUGAGCUUCACACCAGAACACAUGUAGUGUGGAAUUGUGAUAGAUGUCAGGUGUAGUGCGUGAUAGUGUAUUAUCAUAGUAUUUUUGUUCAUGAGUUUUCAUUACAUUCAUAUAAUUAGAGUCAAAUAAAACACAUGAGAGGGGAAGGGCUUCUCAAAUAAUACCAUGUAGUAAUGCUAAGAGUAUAUACAUAUAUAUAUAUAUAUAUAUAUAUAUAUAUAUAUGCAUCAAAGUUCAGGAACCCACUAGUAAUGGCUUUCCAGAGGUAUAAUCCCUUGGCUAAGGAUGCUUGGUGCUGUUUGCCAUGAUAGUCAAGUAAAGCCAGGGAUAACCAGGCUACAAUCCACAGCCCCAGAGAUACUAGGUAUCAAGGAGGACCUUAAGAGAGAUAGAUAGAUGUACAUGCCCCCUCCUGGGAAGGGGAAAUCAAUCAGAACUCCUGAGUGAAUUGCCAACCUGGGAGGAGGGGUGGAGAUAAGCGGAGGUGGAAAGAGAAGAAUGAGGGAAGUAGAUGGUGCAUUUGGGGGAGGGACAGAGAUGGAGAGACCUGAAAGAGAUGUCUUGAUGGAGGGAGCCAUUAUGGGGUAAGGAAGAAACCUCGUAGAAGGGAAAUUCCCAGGAAUCCACAAGGAUGAGCCCAGCUAAUACUCCGAGCCAUAGUGGAGGGGGUGCCUCAACUGGCCUUCUCCUCUAAUCAGAUUGAUGACUACCCUAAUUGUCAUCAUAGAACCUUCAUCCAGUACUAAUGGAAGCAGAUGCAGAGAUCCACAGCUAAGCACUUGUGGAGCUCCCGGAGUCCAGUUGAAGCAAAGGAGGAGAGAUUAUAUGAGCAAAGGGGACAAGAUCAUGAUGGGGAAAGCCACAGAGACCUGAGCUCAUGGGAGCUCACUGACUCUGGACUGACAACUGGGGAACCUGCAUGGGACCGAACUAGGCCCUCUGAAUGUGGGUGACAGUUGUGUGACUUGGACAACUUAUGGUGCCACUGGCAGUGGCACCAGGACUUAUCCUUCGUGCAUGAACUGGCUUUUUGGAGCCCAUUCCCCAUGGAGGGAUGCCUUGCUCAGCCUUGAUGCAGCAGCUUGGUCCUGCCUGGCCUUGAUAUGGCGGACUUCCUUGACUCCCCCUGGGAGGCCUUACCUUCUCUGAGGACUGGAUAGGAGGUUGGGUGGAGGAAAAUUGGAGGGUGGGUGGGAUCAGCGGGCAGGGGAGAGGGAACUGUGGUUGGUAUCUAAUGUGAAAAAAGAACUCUGAAAUAAAAAAAAAAAUAAAAUGACAAAAUGGUGGUCAAAAUUCUUGUUAAGGUUAGAACUGGGUCUCCUGUGUACUUUCUCAAGAAGAAUGUAUCAACAUUGUAUAAUCGUAGAUGAUUGAAAUAAAAAAGAAACAACACAAGGGUCAUUGUAUAGAACAUGAUUUUGUGAUUUUGUGUAUAAUCCUUUCUUCUUUUCAUCUCUCUGGAUAUUCCUGAGUUGCCCUUCCUUGUGGAUCACGAUGUCUACGGCGAGCCUAGGGUCUUGGGAGCACAGUGACCAGUGCUCGUCCCACUGAAGGAAUGGCUCAGUCUGCUUUAAUCACUGGGCCACACCCAUAAUCUCUACACUUAUUCUCAGUGCUCACCUGAAGUCCAAAUCCUGUGUGAGUAAUAUUCAAAAUUAUUGUCUUGUUUUGCUCUAUGUUAUUAUAGUUUAGAGCAGAGGUUAGGUAUUCUGGAAAAAAACAAAAAACAAAAUAAAAUCAGAGGCACUUUUAUUGUUAAUGAAUUACUGUGCUAAAUAACAAACACACACAUAUUACUAGAUAGAGAAGAGGUAGGCUAUCACGGACCAAUGAUGACAAUUCCCCUGCGGCGAUAUAAGUCACGGACGAUGACUACAAUUAUGGGUGUCUGAGGUUCUUUCUCAUCAUCACACAUCUCAUUUGCUCCUGUUAGCCUGGAAAAACCACUAGGCUUGUGGAGCACAUACUGUUCAUUAGAAGCAUGCACUUUGAUGAAAUUUCUUAGUGGAUCAAUGGCAUGAUAUAAAUAUUCACACAAAUACAAAUGUAAAUAAAUAUGGUGGCAUUGAUCAAUGAGUAGAUAACUGUUCUACUACAAAUGCUACCGCUACUGCUUGUAGAUACUCUAGAAAUCUGUUAAAAAGUAAUUGGUUUAAAGAUGUAUAUAAGGUUUAUCCAAGUUCAUAUAUGAAAUAUAAUUAAUGGAUUAAGCUCCACUUAGGUUCAAGACCUUAAUUUUAUAUCUCACUUGAAUUCUUAAGACACUAUCAUAACAAUAUGAAUCCUAAAUAACAAAUAUUGAAAGGAGGAGAAAUGUGGAAAUCAUUUGAUAAAUAUCAAUUUUUUAUUAUCAUUCUUCCUUUGUACUUCCUGGAAGGAUGAUGAUUGACACCGUGUUUCCUGGCUGGGAGGUCCGUGGUUGCCCUGUCCCCAUGUGUUGAGGAUCAAGGGAACUGAUGUAAGUGGAGUCAAAGUCCUUGUUUUCUUUUGGGUGGCCUUGAUCACACAUCUAUGUUGUCUUGGUAAAGGCAUGCAUUCGGAUCCUGUUAGGCCAAUUGAGACUGCAUGCUCAAUUAAACAUGACCAUGAGCACCGUGUUGGGGAUUUCCAAAAUUAAGUAGAAAGACAGAAUCAGGGUGGCACAAAAUCUGUUGCAUAAUUUCAAAACAAAUCCUGAUUUUGUGACUUGUUAUAGGACUGCUGCAAGUGAGGUGAAUAGUUGGGCGAUAAAUACAUAGAAAGUUUGAGAGAAAGGAAAAGGCAGUGUUGGAUCAAUGAUGACCACUGAUGAUGAUUGAUCCAUGGAGCACGACUGCCGGUCUGAGUGUCUGAUCUUCACACCAGAACACAUGUAGUGUGGAAUUGUGAUAGAUAUCAGGUGUAGUGCGUGAUAGUGUAUUAUCAUAGUAUUUUCCUUCAUGAGUUUUCAUUACAUUUAUAAUAUUAGAGUAAAAUAUAAUAAUAGGGGAAAUAUUCUCCACAAUAAUACCAAGUAGUAAUAUAUAUAUAUAUAUAUAUGUAUAUAUAUAUAUAUAUAUAUAUAUCAAAGUUCAGAACCCCACUAGUAAUGAAUUUCCAGAGGUAUAAUCCCUUCACUAAGGAUGCUCUUUUUAAAAUGGUGAUCCAAAUUCUUGUUAGGGUUAGAACCCAGUCUCCUGUGUAUUUUAUCAACAAGAAUUUUUUAUAGUUUUAUAUGCUAGAUAAAUAAAAUAAAAAAGAAACAGCACAGGGUCAUUUUAUAGAACUUGAUUGUGUUUAUAAUCCAUCCUUCCUUUCAUCUCUCAGGAUAUUCCCAAGAUGAGUUACCCUUCCAUCUGGAUCAUGAUGUCCAAGGCUAUCCUAGGGUUUUGGCAGCAUAAGAGGCCAUGUUCGUAAUUCUUAAAGGAAUUACAAAUUACUCCAGAAUGUCUCAUCUGGUUAAUGAUAGAUGGAAAAUAUCCUGGACACCGUUUCUUAAUAUUUUUAAGAUUAAAAUAAUCAGUUGACACAUUGAAUCAAAAAUUAUUCUAAAGCAUACUUAAGAAUUUCUCUAACGUAUACUUUAUAACCUAAUUAGAUAGUUUAUAUCUGUCUGAAUCUAUCUAUCUUUCUGUCCUGUCUAUUUAUAUCCAACUUUUAUCCUUCUAUCUGUCUGCCUCUUCAUCCAUCCAAUUAUCCCUUCAUCUGUCCAUCCAUCUAUAUAUCUGUCUGUCUGUUUGUCUGCCUGUUUAUCUAUAUACCUCUAUGUAUAUCAUCUAUAUGAUAUAUUGUGACAUUAAUAUUGUUCUUUUUCUCUUUAAUCAUAGCUAUAAUCACACUAUCAUAAAUAUGGAAAAACUGUAUUGUUAUUUCAAUUAAUGAAGCCAAAUUGUAGGAUAGUAGGGACUUUCUUAGUGAAACAGAUGGAUGGUUAAUCCAGUCCCAAAUGACUCUCUAGAAAAUGCAAAUAAACUGAACCAUUCAUGUUUUUUCAAUGGUGACUCUGUUUAUUUAGACACACUAUAUUGUUAUACCACUUUGAUGCUGUCUACUUGAAAUAUCUGGAAUAAAAAUUCCAUAUGCAUCUGGAUGACUGUUUGCAUAUUUACAUUUGACAGGCAGCUGCGGAGACUGAGUCAGGAUCUCCUUGCCUUCUACCUAGGUUCACUCAGAAGAUUUAGCACUUCCCGUCGAGUAGGGAAUGCGUAGCUAGACAGACACAUGGACCAGUUUUGCUUCUUACGGUUUUAUCUGGUAUUCAGUUGUAGGAAAGUUAAUACUUCUUGCACUUUGGACUCCCGGGGCUCCACCUAGGGCCUGGCCAUGGAUCUUUGCAUCUGCUUCCCUCAGUCAUUGGAUGAGAGUUCUACCACAACAGUUAGGGUGUUUGGCCAUCCGAUCACCAGAGUAGUGCUCAUCCCUCAGAAGGAUUGGCUUCAGUCUGCUUUAAACACUGGGCCACAUUCAUAAUCUCUACACUUCCUCUCGGUGUUUACGUGAAGACCCAAAACUUGUGUGAGUAAUAUUCAAUAUUAUUGUCUUGUUUUGCUCAGCGAAAUGCUCUGUAUUAUAGAGUAUUGAAUGUAUCUGAGCAAGGGAUUUGUUAUUCGGAAGAACAAAAUAAUAUCAGAGGCACUUUUAUUGUGUCUGAAUUAAUAUGUUAAACAAAAAACAUACACACAUUACUAGAGAAGAAGAAGGCUAACACGUACCGAUGAUGACUUGUUCUGACGAUAUUAGUCAUGGACGAUGACUACAAUUAAAAGUCUGAGGUUCAUAUCACAAUACAUCCUAUGUGCCCCUCUUAGCCAGGGAAUAAAAUUUAGGCAUUUGGGGCACAUAGUGGUCAUUAGCAUCAUGCAUUUUCUUUGUUGUAUCAAUGAAAAUUUUAUAAAUAUUUACAUAAAUAUAAAUGAAGAUAAAUUUUUGAGGCAUUGUUCAACUAGUAAAUAAAUAUUUUACCACAAAUGCUACUAUUAUUUGUGGAUACUAUGAAAGUCUGUUAAGAAAUAAUUGGCAUCAAGAUGUAUAUAAACUUUAUCCAAGUUCACAUAGAAAGUAUAAUUAGUGGAUUAAGCCCCAGUGAGGGUCAAGACCUUAAUUUUGAAUCUUACUUGAUUUCUUAAGACACUAUCAUAACAAUGUAAAAUCUAAAUAACAAAUAAUAAAAAGGAUAAAUGUAGAAAUAAUUUGAGAAAUAUCAAUGUUUUUAUUAUCUUCCCGGCUAUGUACUCCAUGGAUGUAUGCUGGGUAACACAUGAUUGCUGGGCUACAAGAUCCUGGGUUGCCCUGCCCUCUUGCAUGUGGAUCAAGGGAACUGAAGUAAGUGGAGUCAAAGUUGUUUUCUUUGUUUGCAUGGCCUUCAUAGAACAUUCCUAUCUUGGUAAAGGCUUGCAGAGGCUCCUAUCAGGUCAACUAUAAGUUUGUGCCCACUCCACAUGACAAAGCACACAAUGUUACCAAUUUCCAAAAUUAAGAGAAAAGAUAAUCCCGGUGGCACAAGAUCUUUUCAAUACCUUCAAACAUCAGGAUCCUGUGCUAGGAUUUUGUGAUUAAUUGUUAUGUAAAUAUUGAAAGAUACAGAUAUUUAGGCAAUGCAAAUAUAGAAUGUGGGCGAGAAGGAGUUGGGCAGUGUUGGGUAAGUGGUGACCACUUCCUGUAUGUCAUCAGUACCUCAUCAUUGUAGGUCUGGGGUUCAGAUCAGAACAUAAGUUGUGUUCAUCUGUGGAAGAGAUAUCCAGAGUGGUAUAUUAUGUUAUUUUGAUAUUCAUCUUCAUGAAUUUUCAUUCUUAUAAUUAAUCUAAAAUAUGUAUAAAAGAGGGCAGAGUAGUCUCAAUUUAAGAAAAUGAUGUCCUGACGGUUAUUAAGAAUAUAUGUCAAAUUUCAGAAGUCCAUUGUAAAUAAAUGGAGGAUAUUCAGAAGAAAGUAUCAUGCUUUCAUGCAAUUAGAUUGGUAAAAUAUAAAAUAAAGAACACAAGUGUCAUAGAAUAUAAUGAUGUGCAUAAUCUGUGUUGUUUUUCAACUCUAUGUGGUAUUCUCAACCUUGAGUUACCCUUCCUCCUUGGUCAUAGGGGUCCUGGCUAGCCUUGGGUGUUGGGAGUAUACCAGACUGUGGAGAUGGAGUUCAUGUUCUUGUGUCACGAUGAAUGAUUUUACUUACUGUUACAUAUACCUCAAGUAUGAUACCCUGGUUAAUGACAGAUGCAACAUUUGACAAAUUUUAUUGAUAUAUGUAAAUUUAGAAUCAAUAUGAUGGCACACUGGAUGACCAAAGGUCCUAUAAAUAGCUCUAAAGUAUAUUUAAGAAUAUCAGUGUAGGCUUUUAUAAACCCUGGUUAUCUGAUGAUUAUUACAAAAUAGAAAUGAAACAAAACGUGUAGGAUUCAUGUCAGAUAUAUGAUGACCCUUGUGCCAUUUUGAUUAUGGACCGCUAAUAAUGGUCUGUUUGUAUGAAGUCUACAUCCUAAAGCCUGUGGUUUAUACAUGGGUUCUAGGUACAGAUGUUAGGCACAGUCAAGGAUAUUUGUGUUAAUUAAUUUUCACUAUAUUUUUUACCUCAGACUACUGAAGUAAUCAUUGCACCACAAAGUAAUGACUGUUGUUAUUCAUCAUCAGUUAUGAAAAUAAAUACAUAAUAGAAAUUCUACAAAUAUGUGCAAAAUACCUUACUUAGAGCAUCUAUUAAUAUGGCCAAGGUCAACUCAGGAGAUGGUUUAAAAUAAUCUUACACCUUGUCGUCCUUCCUCAAGGAAUGUCAGGGAGGAAUCCAAGGCAGAAGCCUGGAAGCAUUUACUGAAGCAGAGAAAAUGGAGCAACUCAACUUGUUCUUUAUAACUUUCUUAGUCUGCUUUCUAGUAGCCCCCAAGAGUUCCUGCCCAGAAAGGCAGCAUCUACAGUGGGCUUAUCCCUCCCCCACCAGUCAUUCAUCAAGAAAAUGCACCACAGACUUGCCCAUAGGCUCAUUUGAUGAGACCAUUUUCUUAUUUGUGGUUCCUUCUUCCCAACUGAGUAGACCUUAUAUCAUGUUGACCAAAAAACUAGUAGAGUACCAUAAAACUAAUUAAAACAAUUGUUAAAACUUUGGUGAAAAGUACAGAAAAAGAACGUCUGUUAAGUGCUUGUUAGGACUUGGUGCAUGUUCAGUGUUAUUUAAUGUUGACUGAAAAGAAAAAGAAACCAAAACAAAAGAUCUCCCCAGAAUUUAAAUCCUUCAAGGUUAAUGACAUUGAAAGAGAAGUGUAAAAAUGAUCAGAUGCAAUGCAUAUAUUUUAAUCUGUUCUGCUUUGCACUCUCAGAAUUAAUGAGCCCAGGGCACUGUUGCAUUUUUCUUUGUUCCCAAGGUUUAUGUAUCCAGAGCAUAUAGACUAAUUUUUAGUCAUUAAAUGGUGUAACAGCUGAUUGAUAAAUUCAGCAUUGCUAGUGGAAUCUUGCUUAGUUAGUAUGUACAAAAGUAACAAUCACUCUGGAAAUGCAAAAAUAGGUCACAUGCAUGGCUAUGAAGCAUGCAUAAAGAUCUCAUUCUUAGGCCCUUGCAACUCACAGGACUCUACAUGUAAAAUGAUGGAUUAGUUAAUAAACAAUUAUAGAAAUUAAAAUAGUAGAUUUUAAGGGUUGGUAUUGGUUCAAAGAUUACCAUGGGUGCCAUAAUGAGUCAUGGAUCAUAACUAUAGGUCUAAGGACUCUAACAUCCACAUCCUAAAAGAUCUAAUCUAUACCCAUAAUCUCAGUGACAGAUGCUAGGAAUAAUCUUUUAUAAUUAGACACAAAUAUUAACAAAACUAAAUUGGUAAGACACUCUCCAACUAAAAAAUAAUUCUAGGGCUUGAGAGAUGGCUCAGUAGAUAGAAGAACUAGCUGCUCUUGCAUAUGACCCACGUUGGGUUCAUUCACCAAUAUAGCAUCUCACAACUGCCUGUAACUCUAGUUCUGGGGGAUCUGUUUCCUUCUUAUGGCCUUUGUAGGCAUCAUACCCAUUCGAUACACAUAUAUGCAUGUAGAUAAAAAAUACUCAUAUAGAUAAAAUAAAAAUAUGUUUGGGAAAAUAAUUCCACAGUGAAUGUUCUAAUAAUGUAUUAGUGAAUAUAUUAUUAAAUGUACUGAUAAUAUAUUCAUGAACACAGUAGCUCAGGAAGCACAGCAUGACUGAGGAUUCCACAUGAAGUAAAAUUAUAAGCAACCUUCUUUGUAUUGUCAGAGCUAUGUCCAGUGUUUUUAUUCUUAAUAGACUACAUCACAGUAUCAUACAUAUUUAGGUUUGUAUAAAAAAGAGAUAUUAAUUCAUGCAAGCAGAGUGCAUAAGUGAGUGAACAAAAUGUCAUUUUUUUUAAUGAUCUCUUCUGUGUUGUACUUAGAAUGGAUUCCACACCCAAGCUGAUUUUCACACUCUGUCUUGGUCAUGAGCCUCAUAAUGAGCUGUUUCAGACAGUAAAAUAGACACAGUGUGAAUACAGUCUGCAUUCUGAUGUCACUUCAUGAUGCUUCAAAAGGCCAUUUACUGUAUUGAUAAGAGCAACCAUGGAAAAUACUGAAUGUGGUAUGUGUUUGAAACACAAGAUUGGAUAAAAUGUUGUCCAAUUAAGGAUAUGUAAUGAAAAAGGUCCUGGCAAAAGAUAUGGAGGAACUCUGUAUUAUACUUAAGGGUCUUGUCGUUAGAUUUUUUUUGUGAGCUAAAAUUAUCUCAGUAGUAGUAGUGAUCAAUUGCUCAAUAAAUGUGCCUAAAUUAAUAGAGAAGAGGAAGGCUGAUGUUGGAUCAAUGAUGACCAUGGGUGCUGUAUGAGUCAUAGAUUGUGACUACAGGUCUGCGAGUCUGAGGUUCACAUCACAAUCUACCCAGUGUAUUCUAUUAUCUUAGUGAGAGAUCUUAGGGAUAAUUAGGUAAAAUAUAAAUUAAAAGAAAUUUAGAAGUCCUUUUCUAAUUAAGACAUAAUCCCAUCACAAUAAUGCUAAAUGUAUAUACUAAAGAGUAAUUCACUCAGACAUGAUGACUGAAGAUGCCUCAUGAGCUUUAAUCAUUGGCAAUGUUCAUGGUAGGACCAAAGCCUUGGCCAUUGGUUUUCUUAAGUACAGUAUACCAUAGGGUAAUGAAUACUUAGAUAAGGGAUGAUAAGAAUGAAUGAGUAAGAGAAGUGACAAAAUGCAUGGAUAAGUAAACAGAACGCCAAUCUUUUUAUAAUUUCUUCUGCUUUAUACUCUCAGAAUGGAUACCUCCAAGCUGUUUUACGUAUUUUUCUUUGUCCUGAAGUUUGAAGUUCACUGUUCAUGUAUGAAAGAUAAAGAAUGUAAUUGGUAACCCCAAGCUGAUGUAUAUAUUCUUCCUUGGUUGUGAGAUUCCUGCUCUGGUCAUUGUGGUCCUAAGACAGACACCGUUGUGUGUAGUCAAUGUUCAUGUCUUGGGUUUGGUUACCUUCUAACGACUACGUACACUAUUGUUGAACUACUGCUCUUCCUCUAAAAGAACAACCUUUUCCAAAUGAAUGAACACACGCAGGCUGAUUUACAUACUCUUCCUUGGUUGUGAGCUUCUUGAUCAGCUCUUUGUGCUUGCAAUAUAGACACCGUAAUGGAGACCCCCAGGCUGAUUUCUCCAUACAUCUUUGGUCUUGAGCUUCGUGGUCAUGUCUUUGGGCUCAUAAUAUGGACAGAGUGAUGGAUUUCCCUCCAGACUUGAUUUACAUGUUCUCCUUUGGUUUGGGGCUUCCUGAUCAGCUCUUUGGGCUUGUUAUAAAGACACAGUAACAGAUACCCCCAAGCUGAUUUUACACACAUUCCUUGGUCAUGAGCUUCUUGAUCUGCUGUUUGUAUUCAUAGGAUAGAUACAGUGGAUGGAUUUCCCCCAAAGUUGAUUUACACAUUCUCCUUUGGUUGUGAUCUUCAUGAUUAGCUCUUUGGGUUCGUAAUAAUAGAUACAGUAAUAGAUGCCUUCAUCACUGAUCACCGGGUUCAUGGAGCAUAGGGACCAAUAAAUGCCAGCUCCAGAACAAUAAAUGGAUCCUGCCUGCUCCUGAGUUCUUAAGCUGCCUGUGUUUUUAGGAUCCCAGCUACAAUUGGAUCAGGGAACCCUCUGGAAGAGGAGGUGAAAAGAUUGUAUGAAUCUAUGCAAUGGAAGACACCAAGGAAGCAAGGCCUUCUAGAUACAACAGAACUGAUGCAGAUAUGAGCUCAUAGAGACUGUGGCAGCAUGCACAGGCCUGUACAGGUCUAAGCCAGAUGAGCUCCCAGCACUGAGAGGGCAAGUGGACACAACCCCAUAUCCCUAACCCAGAAGCUAUCUGUAAUUGAUAACCUCUCCCAGAGGAAAAACUGUAUUUCUCCAAUGGAAUCUCACUUGAUAUAUAAAACACCCUCAGAUGUGUUGGCUCAGAUGGCCAACACAAAAU
Molecule: long non-coding RNA, 37450 nt
Organism: Peromyscus leucopus (white-footed mouse)
Lineage: Eukaryota; Metazoa; Chordata; Mammalia; Rodentia; Cricetidae
Exons: 47
Source: RefSeq, a predicted model, not a curated record